This is a long non-coding RNA of Coregonus clupeaformis (lake whitefish), 1820 nucleotides long. RefSeq lists it as uncharacterized. The record is from RefSeq and is a predicted model, not a curated record. The transcript has 3 exons. Lineage: Eukaryota; Metazoa; Chordata; Actinopteri; Salmoniformes; Salmonidae.
CUGCAGAGCGUCCAGAGGGAAUUUAUGAACGCACCCCAACAGGAACCGGCCAACCUCCUGCAGAGCGUCCAGAGGGAAUUUAUGAACGCACCCCAACAGGAACCGGCCAACGUCCUGCAGAGCGUCCAGAGGGAAUUUAUGAACGCACCCCAACAGGAACCGGCCAACGUCCUGCUACUGUUGCCAUUCUUAUUUUUAUUUUUUUAGAACUUGAGCUUUGAUGCAGCCAACUUUUUAAAUAAUGCACUUUCUAUAAUGAAAAAAAUGAUGCUAUUAAAUGUGUAAUUUGGUGUAAUUAACACUGUAGACAUCAAUUACAAUGUCCAGAACAAUCCUACCUCGGCUUCAUGUGUUUUUAUAUUUGUCUGUUUCCUUUUCAAUGCCUUGUACUGUCUUUCCUUUAGAAACCCCCCAGAUAUCCUCCAAAUCAAUUCCUUUCCUGUUGGUUUUACGCUCUAUUUCUCCUCCUUCUUCUUGUUGUCCUGAUGUCCUAGUCCCUCAGUCCUACCCUUCUUGGUUCUUGCCAGAUGAUCAACAUGACUUAGUAGACUAGCUAGCUUUCAGAGCCAGGUUUAACCGAUCUCUCGAAAUCUCUCUCAAAAUCAAACAAUCUUCUCAAAGGAAAACCAUCUCCAGAUGUGGAGAACACGGCACAGCAUUGAAACAACCAAACUGUUCACGAAAAAACUAAAUAAUUUAACAAAAAUAAUCACAUUUUAGGAGGAGCUCUCUCAACUGCUGCUGCUCAGUUAGAUGGUGAUGUCACAAUCAGUAUAAAAUGGGCCAUAACCUGUAAACUAGAUCCCACUCUGUAACUUUGAUCUGCACAUAGAAAAUCCACCAAAUCAUGGUCUUUUUUUUCUCCUACUAAUUUCGUGAGAAAUCAGCCGUAUAUGGUUAUCAGACGUCUCAUUCUCAAGCACACUAUUUCUAAUAUUCUCUAGUUCCCCCCCCCCUCUUCAUUAUUUCGAAAGGAAAUUCAGUAUCACUCGUGGUCCGCUCUGCAGUGUCACUCCAGUGUGUGAUCACCACUCACUCUGUGGAGUUUUGAGAAGUAUUGCAGUGACGUGGCGGACGCUGCAGCCUGGGGGGGACAACUGGAGGUACCUUCAUCCAAAGGACCCAACAGAGCACCUGGUGUUAUAAUGCUGAGAGCUCUGACGCGGGUCAACUGCCAAUAGAAGUGCUCCAAGCCGAUUCUCCAGCGAUAAUCAUCGGAGAGGAAUUUGACAAGUCACCCAUCACCAUUAUUUACAUGCGUCAUGCAUAUGGACUGGGUGAACACUACAACUCAGUGGAACGUCUGAAGGAACUCAAGAGGAAGGCUGAGACGCAUUGAGUUAAAUUAUAAUGAAUGAUAAAGUCAAGCAGGGGUGGAGAUAGAAACAAUUUGGGAACCCACCAAUGUAAAACCUUUGAAUUCACAAUGUCAAAUGACAAAAUGAUUUCACUUCUAGAGAGCCACCCCCUCCCCCCCACAUACAGUUUACAGUCUAGAUAAAGUGCUUGCAGUCCAAGGAAUUCGAUGGGAGGAGAGAGGCCGAGAGACUGAAAAUAAUACCACCACCUAACUAUGUGGGGACUGAGGGAAUAUUUACCGUCAGAGUGAGCUGAGGCAGAAUUGGAAGUAACUUUGUACAUCCUUCAUCAGUGCUUGUGAUACUCUUGAUAUCAUCAUGGAAAUGUUAUCUAUUAAAUAUUGCUUUUGGUGGUGAUGUGCUGUUAUUUCCAAUGACUGCAAUAUCAAAGGCUGAUUGUCUUGUAUGUGUGUAUGCUGAUGGACAAUAUUGUCUCAUACAAUAAAAUGUUUUUUAAUUCCA